RNAcentral lists this ribosomal RNA (500 nucleotides) under uncultured bacterium. RNAcentral describes it as "bacterial SSU rRNA". It matches the Rfam family "Bacterial small subunit ribosomal RNA", at positions 1 to 507 of the family's 1533-position model. The record is from RNAcentral.
AGUACAGACGAGUUUGAUCAUGGCUCAGAUUGAACGCUGGCGGCAGGCUUAACACAUGCAAGUCGAGCGGAGACUUCGGUCUUAGCGGCGAACGGGUGAGUAAUACCUAGGAAUCUGCCUAUUAGUGGGGGAUAACGGCUCGAAAGGGUCGCUAAUACCGCAUACGUCCUACGGGAGAAAGUGGGGGAUCUUCGGACCUCACGCUAAUAGAUGAGCCUAGGCCGGAUUAGCUAGUUGGUAGGGUAAAGGCCUACCAAGGCGACGAUCCGUAGCUGGUCUGAGAGGAUGAUCAGCCACACUGGAACUGAGACACGGUCCAGACUCCUACGGGAGGCAGCAGUGGGGAAUAUUGGACAAUGGGGGUAACCCUGAUCCAGCCAUGCCGCGUGUGUGAAGAAGGCCUUCGGGUUGUAAAGCACUUUAAGCGAGGAGGAAGGUCUUUGAACUAAUAUUUCAAAGAAUUGACGUUACUCGCAGAAUAAGCACCGGCUAACUCUGUG